This 465-nucleotide ribosomal RNA is filed under the name uncultured bacterium. Its description in RNAcentral is "partial 16S ribosomal RNA". It matches the Rfam family "Bacterial small subunit ribosomal RNA", at positions 28 to 507 of the family's 1533-position model. The record is from RNAcentral.
GACGAACGCUGGCGGCGUGCUUAACACAUGCAAGUCGAACGGAAAGGCCCUGCUUGUAGGGUACUCGAGUGGCGAACGGGUGAGUAACACGUGGGUGAUCUGCCCUGCACUUUGGGAUAAGCCUGGGAAACUGGGUCUAAUACCGGAUAGGAGCCAUUUUUAGUGUGGUGGUUGGAUAGUUUUUUCGGUGUAGGAUGAGCUCGCGGCCUAUCAGCUUGUUGGUGGGGUAAUGGCCUACCAAGGCGGCGACGGGUAGCCGGCCUGAGAGGGUGGACGGCCACAUUGGGACUUAGAUACGGCCCAGACUCCUACGGGAGGCAGCAGGGGGGAAGAUUGCACAAUGGGCGCAAGCCUGAUGCAGCGACGCCGCGUGGGGGAUGACGGCCUUCGGGUUGUAAACUCCUUUCGCUAGGGACGAAGCUUUUUGUGACGGUACCUAGAUAAGAAGCACCGGCUAACUACGUG